CUACGUGCCAGCAGCCGCGGUAAUACGUAGGUGGCGAGCGUUGUCCGGAAUCAUUGGGCGUAAAGGGAGCGCAGGCGGGCCGGUAAGUCUUACUUAAAAGUGCGGGGCUCAACCCCGUGAUGGGAGAGAAACUAUCGGUCUUGAGUACAGGAGAGGAAAGCGGAAUUCCCAGUGUAGCGGUGAAAUGCGUAGAUAUUGGGAAGAACACCAGUGGCGAAGGCGGCUUUCUGGACUGCAACUGACGCUGAGGCUCGAAAGCCAGGGGAGCGAACGGGAUUAGAUACCCCGGUAGUCCUGGCCGUAAACGAUGGAUACUAGGUGUAGGAGGUAUCGACCCCUUCUGUGCCGGAGUUAACGCAAUAAGUACCCCGCCUGGGGAGUACGACCGCAAGGUUGAAACUCAAAGGAAUUGACGGGGGCCCGCACAAGCGGUGGAGUAUGUGGUUUAAUUCGACGCAACGCGAAGAACCUUACCAGGUCUUGACAU
This 487-nucleotide ribosomal RNA is filed under the name uncultured bacterium. Its description in RNAcentral is "bacterial SSU rRNA". It matches the Rfam family "Bacterial small subunit ribosomal RNA", at positions 501 to 987 of the family's 1533-position model. The record is from RNAcentral.